Molecule: RNA transcript, 3965 nt
Organism: Amphiprion ocellaris (clown anemonefish)
Lineage: Eukaryota; Metazoa; Chordata; Actinopteri; Pomacentridae
Exons: 8
Source: RefSeq, a predicted model, not a curated record
CAACAAAACCAACCUAUUCUGUGGAAAAUCAUUCAAAUGAACGACACUAAGGGAUCUCCUAUCCUGGAACACAUUCGGUCCCCACCCAGUGAAUCGCAUAACAAACCGAACCAAUCAGGUGAUUCGAAGCAGUUGAGUGCUUCAAACGUCACUGAAGUGAUUCAAACGUCAUCGAGUCACCUGACCAAACCACGCGACGGCACAGUGGCUGGAUACGUUUGCUUCAUGAGCUACCGCGCAUGUGUCGAAGCCUCGGGUAUCAGAGGACCAUCACUAGCAGUGGCCCCCUUUGGGAUCUGAUUGGCCACCCCGUGUGCCCCCCCCAAAAUUUUCGUUGGAAAUUUACAUUACUGAAACUCCGAUUUCCGACGCUCCUGAACGCAACUUUGUUGUCCGACUGCAACUGAAUGCACCAAUGACGUUAGUUUGAUCUUUUGGCUGUAUUUCGUUUGAUUUGAAGAAGCUUUGAAGACUUUCCUGAUGCCAGAAGAGAAGAAAAAGCUGCUCGAGCUUUGUACCUUUGCUGUAAGAAGACUAUGGCCGUUUCUCAGUCCCUCUCUAUCUCCCCACACAUCCACCAACCACUGAAACACAUCUCCAAAGUUCUGCCGGGCCAGCUAAGCUUCCCCUCAGAAGAAGUGCUGCCACCUGCCAGAUGAAGGAGCCUUUUGAGAGGCAGCUGGCAUCGUGAUUGGACUGUACUUUGGUCUGUUCCAGUCCAGCUUCAGCCCCAGAGACGGCAGGCGGGACGAGUCAACGGAGGCCUGGUGGACGAAGGCAUGCAGCUGAGUACAAUCCAGAAAACAACAGAGGAGGAGUGCAGCAGCCCAGAGCCAGAACAACCAGAGUAGCAUGACCAAAGAACUACAGACUCUUCACAACCUGCUCAAACUCUUGGUACAGGAUCUCACCACACGGGUCAAGAAGGUUUCCUUCUCAUUUCUACUCUAAAACUCACCUUCUCCUGCUCAAACUGCUGACAAAUGUUUCUGCUGCUCUAAAGUCUGCUCUCCAGAACUUCCUAAAAACUCUCAAAGUCUCUUCUGCUGCAUGUUGCUUUGUAGAACUGCUCCAGAAAACCUCACUAAACCACAUGGAGGGGCCUCAAGAUAGUCGUCCAAAUGAAACCGUACAAAAACCAAACUAGCUCAACCCAAACACUAAAGUCCCCUGCAGCCUACCAGAGAACCUCUGACAACAGAGAAUCAGGACAGGAACUCUUACCUUCUGGACAACCAACGUUGGUUCACCAACAAGAAUACAGAAUGUGUCUGACCAAAAACCUCUGAAGACUCACUACAGCCAAGAUAAAGACACAACUCACCUGCACCAAAUCCACUAAUCACUGCACACAUUAGCACCAUGUGCUAACUGUGGCUAAAGAACCACAUUUACCAAGACAACUAUCCAGCACAAACUCCUAAAACACACCAAGAAACACAUUAAAGACGAUUUUACUGCUGGAAGCUGCAAGCCAACGCCUAAAGCACAAACUAAAGCAACGGAGCCAAACCCGGUUCAGUGGUGAAGAGAAACAGAGGAAAUGUUUGUCUGCAGCUAAAUAAAGCAGGAAGACACUGAGCUGCUCAGGUGUUCCUGAUAACACCAAGCUGCUCAGGUGUUCCUGAUAACACGAAGCAGCCACCUGGACAGCCAAUAGGAACACAGUUUACUGGAAGUCCAGAGGGCUGGCUUAAGCCGCGAUUCCACAAGCACCUACUCGGCGCGGUGCUGCUCGGCUCGUCUUUGUUUGCGAGCAUUUCCAUAUGGAUUAGUGCAUGGUAUCAGGCACGAUUUUCCGUACCUUCUCGGCUGUUCCAAGCGAGAUGAAGUGAGCCGAGAUGUGACGUCUACAUAGCGCAGGCCACUGAUUGGACAGCAGUGCAGGCCACUGAUUGGACAGGGAGUGACGACACACGAGAGCGACUCCAGCACGAAAACAAAACCGGCAUUUAAAAAAAAAAACUAAACAGCGACGGUGUGCAUUGGUCUUCACAGACCUCUCUGUUCUUCAUAAUUUUAAUAUGAUAGCCAGACCUGUACCGUGGGUGAAUGAAGAGGUCGAGACUUUUCUGUCUUUGGUGGUGGACCAAAGAAUACAGAGAGAGCUGGACGGAGAAAGUUUAUCAGGAGGUCUCUGAGCGGAUGGCCGCUCACAUAUACAGUAGACUGUAUAUAAAGAGGACAAUGAAGCAGUGUAGGGAGAAGCUGAAAAAGUUCAAAAAUGACUAUCGGUUCACCAAGGACCACAGCGGCCGGCGUGGGUCAACCAGGAGGUGUUGGAAGAGGUUUAAUGGAAGCUAUUUACUGGCACCACACCAGCGAGCAACAGGAGGGAGACUCAGCUGCUGCAUUAUUGGAGACGUUCAAGGACGAAUCCCUUUCGACGUGCGAAGCCUGCUCCACCUCCGUCAUGGAGCCCCCAGCUCCCUGCCUCCUCUCCAGCACCAGCUUCAGCACCAGUACCAACUCGGACACCGAGCCUGUCAUCAUCAACUUCCAGCACAUAACAGCAACGUCUUAUCACCGGCAAGAGGAAAAGGGGCAACAGAAAAUUGGACCUUCCAAGCAUGCUUGUGGAGAUGCAGGCUGAGAAGGAAUGGAGUCAUGCCCAGCAUGAUGAGAACAUCCGGUUGCUCCUCAGCGAGGCAAGAGAGAAUGAAGCGGCCUUGCAGCAGAGGAGAUGGUCCAGAAUACUGCCUUCAACCAGUCAUUCCUGGGUGUGCUGGGGCAGCUGGACCAGGCAGUGCUGGGUGUGCUGGGGCAGCUGGUGCAGGCAGUGGGCAGCCAGCCAGAAUUGCAUUAAAGAAAACAAUAGUGGUCCGGGGACCAAAAAACAGAAGUAUAACAAGAAGAAUAACUUCUAACUUCUGCAUGACACGUCCUGCAUCAGUGCAUCCUGUACAUCUCUGCCCUCCUCCUCCACACCUUGUGCCACUGCAGGCUGAUGUGCUGCUGCUUCAGCCCUGAAAAAAGCCUGUUCACACUGCACAGAUGAGGUCCCUCUCUAUCUCCCCACACAUCCACCAACCACUGGAACACAUCUCCAAAGUUCUGCUGGUCCAGCUCAGCUUCCCCUCAGAAGAAGUGGCGCCACCUGCCAGAUGAAGGAGCCUUUUGAGAGUCAGCUGGCAUCGUGAUUGGACUGUACUUUGGUCUGUUCCAGUCCAGCUUCAGCUCCAGAGACGGCAGGCGGGACAAGUCAACGGAGGCCUGGUGGUCGAAGGCAUGCAGCUGAGUACAAUCUAGAAAACAACUGAGGAGGAGUGCAGCAGCCCAGAGCCAGAACAACCAGAGUAGCAUGACCAAAGAACUACAGACUCUUCACAACCUGCUCAAACUCUUGGUACAGGACCUCACCACACGGGUCAAGAAGGUUUCCUUCUCAUUUCUACUCUGAAGCUCACCUUCUCCUGCUCAAACUGCUGACAAAUGUUUCUGCUGCUCUAAAGUCUGGUCUCCAGAUCUUCCUAAAAACUCUCAACGUCUCUUCUGCUGCAGGUUACUUUGUAGAACUGUUCCAGAAAACCUCACUAAACCACAUGGAGGGGCCUCAAGAUAGUCGUCCAAAUAAAACCAUACAAAAACCAAACUAGCACAGUACAAACGCUAAAGUCUCCUGCAGCCUACCAGAGAACCUCUGAGAACAGAGAAUCAGGACAGGAACUCUUACCUUCUGGACAACCAACGCUGGUUCACAAAUAAGAAUACAGAGUGUGUCUGACCAAAAGCCUCUGAAGACUCACUACAGCGAAGAUAAAGACACAACUCACCUGCACCAAAUCCACUAAUCACUGCACACAUUAGCACCAUGUGCUAACUGUGGCUAAAGAACCACAUUUACCAAGACAACUAUCCAGUACAAAGCCCUAAAACACACCAAGAAACACAUUAAAGACGAUUUUACUGCUGGAAGCUGCAAGCCAACGCCUAAAGAACAAAUUAAAGCAACGGAGCCAAACCCA